UCUGCUUCUCAAUUUUCAAAGAACUCUGUUCUCGAAAUGGUUAUGAAAGAGGCCUGAAUAGAAGGAAAAAAAGAUCAAUUUUUGUUAGGAAGAGAGAUAGAGAGAGUCCUCUCUUUCUUUCUUCCUUGAUUUUGUUCCUUCUCUUAUCAUCAUGGCCUCUAAUAUCUCCUUCGAGGAGAUAAAAAAUGAGCAAGUUGAUCUCGAGAACAUACCAAUUGAGGAAGUCUUUGAGCAGCUAAAAUGUACCAGGGAUGGUUUGUCAUCAGAGGAAGGAGAAAAUAGACUCCAAAUCUUUGGCCCCAACAAGCUUGAAGAGAAAAAGGAGUGCAAGCUUCUCAAGUUUUUGGGUUUUAUGUGGAAUCCUCUAUCAUGGGUCAUGGAAUGUGCUGCCAUCAUGGCCAUUGUUUUGGCAAAUGGAGGGGGCAAGCCUCCAGACUGGCAAGACUUUACCGGUAUAGUUGUGCUGCUCAUUAUCAACUCAACUAUCAGCUUCAUUGAAGAAAAUAAUGCAGGCAAUGCUGCUGCUGCCCUUAUGGCCGGUUUGGCUCCUAAAACCAAGGUGUUGAGAGAUGGAAAAUGGAGUGAGCAGGAAGCAUCAAUCUUGGUUCCAGGAGAUUUGAUUAGUGUCAAGUUGGGUGAUAUCAUUCCAGCUGAUGCUCGUCUCUUGGAAGGGGAUCCCCUUAAGAUCGACCAAUCAGCCCUCACUGGCGAAUCAUUGCCCGUGACAAAACACCCAGGAGAUGGAGUGUUCUCUGGUUCCACUUGCAAGCAAGGUGAAAUUGAGGCUGUGGUCAUUGCCACUGGUGUCCAUACCUUCUUUGGCAAGGCUGCCCACCUUGUUGAUAGCACCAACCAAGUGGGUCAUUUCCAGAAGGUAUUGACUUCUAUUGGGAACUUUUGUAUUUGCUCCAUUGGAGUGGGUAUGGUGAUUGAGAUCAUAGUGAUGUACCCAAUCCAAAAUAGGAAAUAUAGAGAAGGAAUUGAUAAUUUGUUGGUGCUUCUCAUUGGAGGGAUCCCAAUUGCCAUGCCAACAGUGUUGUCUGUGACAAUGGCCAUUGGAUCUCACCGACUUUCACAACAAGGUGCCAUUACCAAGAGGAUGACUGCAAUUGAAGAAAUGGCUGGGAUGGAUGUGCUUUGUAGUGACAAGACAGGGACCCUCACCCUCAACAAGCUCACAGUAGAUAGGACCUUGAUUGAGGUGUUCCCGAAAGAUGUUGAUAAGGACAUAGUUGUCUUGCUUGCUGCUAGGGCUUCUCGGAUUGAAAAUCAGGAUGCCAUUGACGCUUCAAUUGUUGGGAUGUUGGGUGACCCUAAGGAGGCAAGAGCAGGAAUCACAGAGGUGCAUUUCCUACCCUUCAAUCCGGUGGAGAAGCGCACUGCAAUAACCUACUUUGACUCUAAUGACAAUUGGUACAGAACUAGCAAGGGUGCUCCUGAACAAAUCAUUGAUCUUUGUGACCUCAAAGGAGAUGUCAGGAAGAAGGCCCUUGAGAUCAUUGACAACUUUGCUAACCGUGGCCUCCGUUCUCUAGGUGUUGCGAGACAGACGGUCCCAGAGAAGACCAAGGAAAGCGCUGGAGGGCCAUGGGAAUUUGUAGGCCUCUUGCCCCUCUUCGACCCGCCUAGGCAUGAUAGUGCUGAGACCAUCCGUAGGGCCCUUGACCUAGGUGUCAGUGUUAAGAUGAUCACAGGUGACCAGCUUGCCAUUGGAAAAGAAACUGGUCGUAGGCUUGGCAUGGGUACCAACAUGUAUCCCUCAUCCUCCCUUCUUGGCCAGAGCAAGGAUCAGUCUAUCUCUUCCAUUCCUAUUGAGGAGCUCAUUGAGAAGGCUGAUGGCUUUGCAGGAGUCUUUCCCGAGCACAAGUAUGAGAUUGUUAAGAAGCUGCAAGAGAGAAAACACAUUUGUGGAAUGACUGGAGAUGGGGUAAAUGAUGCCCCGGCACUUAAGAAGGCAGACAUUGGUAUUGCUGUGGCAGAUGCAACUGAUGCAGCCAGGAGUGCAUCUGACAUAGUUUUGACCGAGCCAGGGCUUAGUGUGAUUGUGAGUGCUGUGCUGACAAGCAGAGCCAUCUUCCAAAGGAUGAAGAACUACACAAUCUAUGCAGUUUCGAUCACAAUUCGUAUUGUGAUGGGAUUUAUGCUCAUAGCUCUUAUCUGGAAGUUUGAUUUCUCACCUUUCAUGGUCCUGGUCAUUGCCAUCUUAAAUGAUGGAACCAUCAUGACCAUCUCUAAGGAUAGGGUGAAGCCAUCCCCAGUGCCAGACUCAUGGAAACUCAAGGAAAUCUUUGCCACUGGCAUUGUCCUAGGAACCUACCUUGCUCUCAUAACUGUAAUCUUUUUUUGGCUUGCAGCUGACACUGACUUCUUUUCAAAAACUUUUGGUGUUAGAUCAAUCAGAGGUCAUACAGAUGAGCUCACUGCUGCUUUGUACCUUCAAGUGAGUAUUGUGAGCCAAGCGCUCAUCUUCGUGACCAGGUCACGAAGCUGGUCACUCAUUGAACGCCCUGGUCUUUUGCUUGUUGGUGCCUUUCUUGCAGCUCAAUUGGUAGCAACCGCUAUUGCUGUGUAUGCAAACUGGGAAUUUGCUCGCAUCCAAGGCAUUGGAUGGGGAUGGGCCGGUGCCAUUUGGGUCUUUAGUGUCGUUACCUAUUUCCCUCUUGAUGUCCUCAAAUUCAUCAUUCGCUAUGCAUUGAGUGGAAAGGCUUGGGAUAAUAUGAUUGAAGACAAGGUUAGCUAAGAAGAUUUGUGACAAUACCAAAUUCCUAGAACACCAUAACUACAAAACAUUACUUUUUGAUUUUUGGAACAUACCGUUUUUUUUAAAUGACCUAGGCUACUUUCACAACCAACAAGGAUUAUAGUAAAGGUGAGAAGGAGGCACAGUGGGCCUCAGCUCAAUGUACACUUCAUGGCCUUCAGUCUACAGAAUCUCAAGGUUAAGGGAGCUUCAUAGACUUAAGGGACAUGUUGAACCAAUUGUGAAGCUGAAGGGAUUGGACAUUGAAAAUAGCCAACAACAUUAUACCGUUCAACACCAAGGAUGGUUGAACAAUUUGAUAUAUGAUAGAAAUGGUGGAGAAGUGCAAGUGUAGAAGGGGAAUUUUCUUUUCAAACCUUUCUGUUUUUUCAUAACAAAAGAUUAGAGGUGUUGGGAAUGUUAGAUGAGAUUUGUUUUAAAUGAAAAGAAGAGUUUUAGCAAUGAAAUGGACUCAAAAAAUUAGUUACUACUA
This is a non-coding RNA of Camellia sinensis, 3233 nucleotides long. The record is from RefSeq and is a predicted model, not a curated record. Lineage: Eukaryota; Viridiplantae; Streptophyta; Magnoliopsida; Ericales; Theaceae.